AACAUGCAAGUCGAGCGGAAACGAAGAGGUGCUUGCACCUCUGGCGUCGAGCGGCGGACGGGUGAGUAAUGCUUGGGAAUAUGCCUUAUGGUGGGGGACAACAGUUGGAAACGACUGCUAAUACCGCAUGAUGUCUACGGACCAAAGUGGGGGACCUUCGGGCCUCACGCCAUAAGAUUAGCCCAAGUGGGAUUAGCUAGUUGGCGAGGUAAUGGCUCACCAAGGCGACGAUCCCUAGCUGGUUUGAGAGGAUGAUCAGCCACACUGGGACUGAGACACGGCCCAGACUCCUACGGGAGGCAGCAGUGGGGAAUAUUGCACAAUGGGCGCAAGCCUGAUGCAGCCAUGCCGCGUGUGUGAAGAAGGCCUUCGGGUUGUAAAGCACUUUCAGUAAGGAGGAAAGGUUAAGUGUUAAUAGCACUUAGCUGUGACGUUACUUACAGAAGAAGCACCGGCUAACUCCGUGCCAGCAGCCGCGGUAAUACGGAGGGUGCGAGCGU
This 500-nucleotide ribosomal RNA is filed under the name uncultured bacterium. Its description in RNAcentral is "bacterial SSU rRNA". It matches the Rfam family "Bacterial small subunit ribosomal RNA", at positions 52 to 541 of the family's 1533-position model. The record is from RNAcentral.